RNAcentral lists this ribosomal RNA (1442 nucleotides) under Promethearchaeota archaeon. Its description in RNAcentral is "bacterial SSU rRNA". It matches the Rfam family "Archaeal small subunit ribosomal RNA". Lineage: Archaea; Promethearchaeati; Promethearchaeota. The record is from RNAcentral.
GUUGAUCCUGCCGGACCCGACUGCUAUUUGGGUGAGGAUAAGCCAUGCGAGUUGGAUGGGAUACCUAAACUUCCCAUAGCAAACUGCUUAGUAACACAUGAUCAACUUGCCCUAUGGAGAAAAAUAACCUCGGGAAACUGAGGAUAAUGUUUCAUAGUUGAAUAGGCUUGGAAAAGUUUUUCAAUGAAAGGAAUAAGAUAAAUGGAUCUUAUUUGCCAUAGGAUAGGAUCGUGGUCGAUUAUGGUAGUUGGUGAGAUAACGGCUCACCAAGCCGAUAAUCGAUAGGGGCCGUGAGAGCGGGAGCCCCAAGAUGGGUACUGAGACAGCGACCCAGGCCUUACGAGGCGCAGCAGGCGCGAGACCUCCGCAAUACACGAAAGUGUGACGGGGUUACCCAAAGUGUUCUCUUAAGAACUGUGGCAGGUGAGUAAUGUCCCCUGCUAGAAAGGAGAGGGCAAGGCUGGUGCCAGCCGCCGCGGUAAAACCAGCUCUUCAAGUGGUCGGGAUAAUUAUUGGGCUUAAAGUGUCCGUAGCCGGUUUAGUAAGUUCCUGGUAAAAUCGGGUAGCUUAACUAUCUGCAUGCUAGGAAUACUGCUAUACUAGAGGGCGGGAGAGGUCUGAGGUACUACAGGGGUAGGGGUGAAAUCUUAUAAUCCUUGUAGGACCACCAGUGGCGAAGGCGUCAGACUGGAACGCGCCUGACGGUGAGGGACGAAAGCCAGGGGAGCGAACCGGAUUAGAUACCCGGGUAGUCCUGGCCGUAAACGAUGCAUACUAGGUGAUGGUACGGCCAUGAGCCGUAUCAGUGCCGUAGGGAAACCGUUAAGUGUGCCGCCUGGGAAGUACGGUCGCAAGGCUAAAACUUAAAGGAAUUGGCGGGGGAGCACCACAAGGGGUGAAGCCUGCGGUUCAAUUGGACCCAACGCCGGGAAACUUACCAGGGGAGACAGUAGAAUGACGGUCAGGUUGACGACCUUACCUGAUGAGCUGAGAGGAGGUGCAUGGCCGUCGCCAGUUCGUGCCGUGAGGUAUCCUGUUAAGUCGGGCAACGAACGAGAUCCGCGCCUUUAUUUGCCAACAAGAAGUUACGACUUCGUUGGGAACACUAAAGGGACCGCCGUCGAUAAGACGGAGGAAGGAGCGGGCAAAGGCAGGUCAGUAUGCCCCGAAACCCCUGGGCUACACGCGGGCUGCAAUGGUAUGAACAAUGGGCUGUAACUCCGAAAGGAGAAACCAAUCCCGAAAUCAUAUCACAGUGGGGAUUGUUGGCUGUAACCCGCCGACAUGAACGUGGAAUCCCUAGUAAUCGUGUGUCAUCAUCGCACGGUGAAUACGUCUCUGCUCCUUGCACACACCGCCCGUCGCUCCAUCCGAGUGUACUAAAAAUGAGGUUUGGUCAGACUGGUCAUAUCGAGUUUCUAGUAUGCGAGGAGGGAGAAGUC